UCUAUAAUUAGUCAAAUGCAUUGGAUUAUGAAACAUUUUGACCAUAGAAACACUAACAAAGCUAUUUACUGCUUCUCCUAAGCAAAUUUUUGUUGGUUUUAGCCUCUUUUGGGAGAAAAUGGGUAUAAUUGUUGUCUAAACACUCCUAAUCCAUCUCUAACUCUAUAAUUAGUCCAAUGCAUUGGAUUGUGAAACAUUUUGACCAUAGAAACACUAACAAAUCUAUUGACUGCUUUUAAGCAAAA
RNAcentral lists this small RNA (245 nucleotides) under Arabidopsis thaliana (thale cress). RNAcentral describes it as "ATSL036570". The record is from RNAcentral. Lineage: Eukaryota; Viridiplantae; Streptophyta; Magnoliopsida; Brassicales; Brassicaceae.